Long non-coding RNA from Rosa rugosa (rugosa rose), 869 nucleotides. RefSeq lists it as uncharacterized. The record is from RefSeq and is a predicted model, not a curated record. The transcript is spliced from 3 exons. Lineage: Eukaryota; Viridiplantae; Streptophyta; Magnoliopsida; Rosales; Rosaceae.
CCCGUGCUCUCUCAGUCUCUCUCUUCUGCAACUCUCUCUUUCUCUCUUCUGCAACCUCCUCUUUCACCACCUCUAGACCACCAAAUGGCGAGCUGCGAGCAUCGAUAGACUCGUCUCUUCCUCCUUAUCACGCAUGUGGGAGUUGUUUACGACGAUUUGGCCGGAAAUGUGGAGAUCGAAGCCAACAUUUUUACUGUAGCAAAUUAGUCAACGCCGAUUUCCGGCCACCUCCAGUCAUAAACCCAGGUCCAUUAGAAGCGCCUUAAGCCGCUCUUCAUGCUCGCCAAGUCUCAUAACCCAGAUCGAAGCAUGGAGGAAGAAAGCAUAAUUGGAAAAUUUCACUGUACAUCGGAGUGCUUAAUUGUUCGGCUACUUCAAGGUGAUUGACGGUUUGAGUUGGUGGACGAUUGUGGAUCGUAUUUUGAGCUGAAUUGAAGACGCAGCGGGAUUAUCGAGCGGGAAAUCCUACAGGACAGGAGAACCAGGACGGUGAUCGUGCGGUUAGAGCAAUUGUUAGAGUUUUACAGCAAUUGUAAGUUGUGAGGUGCGUUAUGCUCAUUUAGAGCUUUACAAUAUUGCUUGUGAGAGUGAAUUGUAAUAAUGAACUCGAGGUUUCGAGAUUUGGAGUUUGUGUACCGUGUGGUGAAGUUAUAUUGAGAAAAAAAAAUUCAGAAUGUUUAUUUGAUUAAAUGGUUUAAUUCAUGUUUCGGAUUUGAAUUUAUCAUUCAAAAUUCGGGGCGUGACAGUUUGGUAUCAGAGCGUAAGGUGCAUAUUUGGUGAUGUGUCAAUACCUUCCGAGUGAUGGCCCGUCUGCAGCGGAUCCCCAUCGUGUGCUCUUCGGUAUUGGCUAAGUCAUUGGGUAUGCGUGA